RNAcentral lists this ribosomal RNA (253 nucleotides) under uncultured bacterium. Its description in RNAcentral is "partial 16S ribosomal RNA". It matches the Rfam family "Bacterial small subunit ribosomal RNA", at positions 524 to 776 of the family's 1533-position model. The record is from RNAcentral.
UACGGGGGGAGCAAGCGUUGUUCGGAUUUACUGGGCGUAAAGGGCGCGUAGGCGGCGCGACAAGUCACUUGUGAAAUCUCCGGGCUCAACUCGGAACGGCCAAGUGAUACUGUCGUGCUAGAGUGCGGAAGGGGCAACUGGAAUUCUCGGUGUAGCGGUGAAAUGCGUAGAUAUCGAGAGGAACACCUGCGGCGAAGGCGGGUUGCUGGGCCGACACUGACGCUGAGGCGCGAAAGCUAGGGGAGCAAACAGG